This 489-nucleotide ribosomal RNA is filed under the name Shigella dysenteriae. Its description in RNAcentral is "bacterial SSU rRNA". It matches the Rfam family "Bacterial small subunit ribosomal RNA", at positions 1 to 479 of the family's 1533-position model. Lineage: Bacteria; Pseudomonadati; Pseudomonadota; Gammaproteobacteria; Enterobacterales; Enterobacteriaceae. The record is from RNAcentral.
AAAUUGAAGAGUUUGAUCAUGGCUCAGAUUGAACGCUGGCGGCAGGCCUAACACAUGCAAGUCGAACGGUAACAGGAAACAGCUUGCUGUUUCGCUGACGAGUGGCGGACGGGUGAGUAAUGUCUGGGAAACUGCCUGAUGGAGGGGGAUAACUACUGGAAACGGUAGCUAAUACCGCAUAACGUCGCAAGACCAAAGAGGGGGACCUUCGGGCCUCUUGCCAUCGGAUGUGCCCAGAUGGGAUUAGCUAGUAGGUGGGGUAACGGCUCACCUAGGCGACGAUCCCUAGCUGGUCUGAGAGGAUGACCAGCCACACUGGAACUGAGACACGGUCCAGACUCCUACGGGAGGCAGCAGUGGGGAAUAUUGCACAAUGGGCGCAAGCCUGAUGCAGCCAUGCCGCGUGUAUGAAGAAGGCCUUCGGGUUGUAAAGUACUUUCAGCGGGGAGGAAGGGGGUAAAGUUAAUACCUUUGCUCAUUGACGUUACC